UGAUUCCUUCCGCAGUGUACACUUAUCGAAGCCUUUGCAGCCACGCAAGUGGUAGGUCCAGACGACUGUAAACAAGUUGGCACCGCAUGCAAGUCGCGCCCCUCCGGGUGUCGGCGACACUUUUGAAUUGCGGGGAUACCCUAAAGCCGGUCGCACCAACCAAUGCGGGAAACUGCGUUGGGGCCCAUGAACACCUCAUGGGGGACGGUAACAGACGACCUGGAUAGUUCUGCCUCGGGCAGAGAGCAUGGGCAAUCCGCAGCGAAGCCCCUAAAUCCUCCGGGACACGGGGAACGUUCACAGACUAAGUGGAAGUGGGUGGGGUGCUGCACCCUGCUUAAGAUAUAGUCGGGCUCUCCGGGAGACGGGAGAGACAAGUACACUGCCGGGGGCUUCGUCGGAGAGCGAGGGGUCCUUAGGCCCGCUCCGUGGAAGCCUCGUUGGUGAACUGUAGCUGUUCCGUAGGUGAACCUGCGGAAGGAUCAUUACCGAGUGCGAGCCCUCGCGGCUCAACCUCCCACCCUUGUCUCUCUACACCUGUUGCUUUGGCGGGCCCACCGGGGCCACCUGGUCGCCGGGGGACGAACGUCCCCGGGCCCGCGCCCGCCGAAGCGCCCUGUGAACCCUGAUGAAGAUGGGCUGUCUGAGUACGAUGAAAAUUGUCAAAACUUUCAACAAUGGAUCUCUUGGUUCCGGCAUCGAUGAAGAACGCAGCGAAAUGCGAUAAGUAAUGUGAAUUGCAGAAUUCCGUGAAUCAUCGAAUCUUUGAACGCACAUUGCGCCCCCUGGCAUUCCGGGGGGCAUGCCUGUCCGAGCGUCAUUUCUGCCCUCAAGCACGGCUUGUGUGUUGGGUGUGGUCCCCCCGGGGACCUGCCCGAAAGGCAGCGGCGACGUCCGUCUGGUCCUCGAGCGUAUGGGGCUUUGUCACUCGCUCGGGAAGGACCUGCGGGGGU
This 953-nucleotide unclassified non-coding RNA is filed under the name Talaromyces beijingensis. RNAcentral describes it as "sequence contains 18S rRNA gene, ITS1, 5.8S rRNA gene, ITS2, 28S rRNA gene". The stretch from base 667 to 820 matches the Rfam family "5.8S ribosomal RNA". Lineage: Eukaryota; Fungi; Ascomycota; Eurotiomycetes; Eurotiales; Trichocomaceae. The record is from RNAcentral.